CAGCCGCCACGGGAAUACGUAGGUGGCAAGCGUUGUCCGGAAUUAUCGGGCGUAAAGGGCUCGCAGGCGGUUUCUUAAGUCUGAUGUGAAAGCCCCCGGCUCAACCGGGGAGGGUCAUUGGAAACUGGGAAACUUGGGUGCAGAAGAGGAGAGUGGAAUUCCACGUGUAGCGGUGAAAUGCGUAGAGAUGUGGAGGAACACCAGUGGCGAAGGCGACUCUCUGGUCUGUAACUGACGCUGAGGUGCGAAAGCGUGGGGAGCGAACAGGAUUAGAUACCCGCGUAGUCCCUGUCUCUUAUAC
RNAcentral lists this ribosomal RNA (301 nucleotides) under uncultured bacterium. RNAcentral describes it as "partial 16S ribosomal RNA". It matches the Rfam family "Bacterial small subunit ribosomal RNA", at positions 509 to 807 of the family's 1533-position model. The record is from RNAcentral.